RNAcentral lists this transfer RNA (77 nucleotides) under Pseudomonadales bacterium. Its description in RNAcentral is "tRNA-Arg". It matches the Rfam family "tRNA". Rfam says of the family: Transfer RNA (tRNA) molecules are approximately 80 nucleotides in length. Their secondary structure includes four short double-helical elements and three loops (D, anti-codon, and T loops). RNAcentral also lists the same sequence under 2 other names. The record is from RNAcentral. Lineage: Bacteria; Pseudomonadati; Pseudomonadota; Gammaproteobacteria; Pseudomonadales.
GCGCCCGUAGCUCAGCUGGAUAGAGUACUGGCCUCCGAAGCCAGGGGUCGUGGGUUCGAAUCCCGCCGGGCGCGCCA